ACGUCCAGCCUAGAAAUUCAAACUGGCAGCAGUGGCACGAGCGAGUCGCCUCAGCUCCUCCCCCGAGGGAAUAGCGCGAUCCUCGGCCGUGGGCACCACUUGUGCAGCAUCAGUGGCAGAGCGCUCCUCCGGCUCCAGAUCGGCCGGGAUCCGGAGCUCGAGCGCGCCACGCCGCCUCUCAUCUGGUUUCUCCGCCGGGCCAGUCGCUUCUUCGGGCCAGACAGGCCGCCCAUCCUUUCUCCGCUUUACGGAUUUCCGGGGGCGACGAAUUUUGCCUCGGUCCCUACGAGCAUCUCUCCGCUUCGCUCCCCCGCCCCUCGCGACUCCCCCCACUCCUGGGCGCGCGCGCGCACACUCACUCACACUCUCAGGCGCGCGUGCGCACGCCCGCGCGCCCCGAGCCGCGGAGUCUCCAGCGCCCCUGAGCAGAUCCCACUCUCCCGGGCGCUGCUACUCACACAGGCUUCCAGCCGCCACGGGGCGUCCUCUGUCUGCGGCAGCAGCGGCGGCGCGAGCGGAGGCUGCAGUCUAGCCGGGUCUGGCUGCUCGGCGCCCUGGACAGAGUCCGGCAGAAGCGAUCGGGAGGAGACGCCGAGGCAAGGAGGAGCCGCGCCGCGCCCGGCGCUCGCUUGCCUCGAAUUCCCGCACCGCGGCCCCAGGUCCUUGACAGCCAGCAUGAUAAAGUAUUGACAAUACUCGGAGGAGAGAGAGAGAGACUCACAUCGCUCAGACUGUGAGUCCCAGAAGUUGAUGACCUUGUUUGGUGAUUGGUGGUGGAAGGAAGAACAGACCCCAUGUGAGUAAGUAAUUGAACGCCGGGGAGUUUUCUAGUCUUGGAUUCUGGCUUUUCUUUUGUUUGUUUGUUUGUUUUGUUAUGUUUUGUUAUUUAUUCAUUCAUUUAUUUGAUGAAGGUUUGGGAUAGACAGAUAGGCAAUGACAGGUGGUGGCAGGAACCCCUCACUUCAGUAACUCACUUGCUCUAAGAUGAGUGACAGCUAACCACAAAGCACAGAGACCUCAGGGAAGUGAGCAGGACACACAUGCCACUUAGCCACCCACACAUGUAAUUCUCCGCCCGGUCAAGAAUAAAGCACAGACUCCCGGAGUGGUGACCCGGGGG
Molecule: long non-coding RNA, 1120 nt
Filed under: Mus spicilegus (steppe mouse)
Lineage: Eukaryota; Metazoa; Chordata; Mammalia; Rodentia; Muridae
Description: lncRNA (ENSMSIG00000021844.1)
Source: RNAcentral